AUGCUUUGGCAGAACGUAUACUAAAGUUAGAACAAUGCAGGGAAGAUUAAUUACUAACAUGGCCCCUGUGCAAGGAUGAUAUGCAAAUCUGAUGCACUGCAGAUUAAA
Zalophus californianus (California sea lion) is the source of this 108-nucleotide small nuclear RNA. The record is from Ensembl. NCBI's taxonomy places the organism in Eukaryota, Metazoa, Chordata, Mammalia, Carnivora, Otariidae.